RNAcentral lists this ribosomal RNA (406 nucleotides) under uncultured bacterium. Its description in RNAcentral is "partial 16S ribosomal RNA". It matches the Rfam family "Bacterial small subunit ribosomal RNA", at positions 28 to 525 of the family's 1533-position model. The record is from RNAcentral.
GACGAACGCUGGCGGCGUGCCUAAUACAUGCAAGUAGAACCCAGUUGCGACCGGGUGAGUAACGCGCAGGUAACUGCCUCAUAGCGGGGGAUAAUUAAUGGACACGUUAUCUAUUACCGCAUACUGAGAGAUGGACCUGCGUUGUAUUAGCUCGUUGGUGAGGAAAAGGCUCACCAAGGCGACGAUACAUAGCCGACCUGAUAGGGUGAUCGGGCACACUGGGACUGCGACACGGUCCAGCCUCCUACGGGAGGCAGCAGUGGGGAAGAGUCGGAAAUGGACGGAAGUAUGACCGAGCAACGCCGCGUGAGUGAAGAAGGUUUUCGGAUCGUAAAGCUCUGUUGUUAGAGAAGGGGUAACUAACAAGAAAGGGAGGGCUAACUACGUGCCAGCAGCGGGGGAAAUC